CAAUAAAGAAGACAUACACAUAUACAUACACAUCCCUCAAGACUGCACGCACAUGUCAGAGUUCAGAGGCCCAUCUUAAUCUGCAUUGAUGGGGUUGCAGGGGGCGAUGUGUGGUGUGGGUGAAGGGAAGUCCUUCAGCCAGGGACUGAGGUUAGGGCACAAAAACCCUAAUCUUCUUGUUCAGAGAGAGCUGUGACAUUAAAGGGCCCUUUCAGAGAACACAAUUAUGGAGUGUUCAUUCCCUCUGUGACAGGUGCAGUCUUAGAUGUACAUAUUUUAUAGAAAUGAAGUCGCUUAAUUCCUAUGACAAUGGAUAAAUGGAUAAGGGGACCCUGAUGCCUAAAGAGGUGGCCCCAUAGCCUAACGGGACCAAAGCAGGGGCAGUGAGGCCCAGGAGGACACAUGUCACAGGUCCCAUGUCUUUUUCCAUCAGCGAGUCCUCGGGGUCUACCUCAGUGCCCAGAGCAUGAGAACAGGACUGUCCAGGAGAUCAGAGAAUUCUAUUUUCCGUGGGAUGAGAAGACUUCAGAGUCCUGCCCAUGUCUUCUAAUCUUCGGCUCCCAAAUCCUGGGUUCUUCCUCGGGCACCCUGACGGUGAAGAAAGGUGCUGAAUCCACCAGAAACAACCUUAUUCCAGUGGGGAAGCUUGUGUCUUCCUUGGCAUCUUGUACUCCCUCCCUCCUGUCUCCUCCUCACCUCCCUCUCUAUGCAAAGAAAACUGUCUUCCUGCCCUUAGAAGAAGGUGGCCCCCAGCUCCAGCUCUCAACAUCCCUACCACCCCUCCAGCUAAGAAGGUUGGAUGCACUGGAAAAGCCCCGGGCUUCCAGAUUAACCUUGCAAAACCACUCGGCUGUAGCUGGUCUCAGUUGAGCCCCCACCUGCAGGUGAUACCACCUCAGGACUGGAGGGUUGACUAAGUGAACUAUAGCAUGGAAAAGUGCUCUGUGCAUUUUGAAAUCUAUGCAGAUGUUCAUUAUUAUCACUUUUAGAGCUCUGCCUCCCUAGAGGUUCUAACCUCUAGAAAUAUCCAGAGUUUCCAAAUCUCACUCUGGGGAGGGGAAACCUAACCAGUGCCUCGUCCCCUUCCUUCUGGGGAAAUAAUGGAUGGGGAUCCAUGUAAGAGGAAGGAGGCCAUGAAGAAGCGAGGGGAUGCUCUGUUUUGUGGGAAACAGGAGGAGCAGCAGGAUUUUGUUCAACAAACAGGUCUGCCGGGUCAGUUCACACCCUACACCUUAGCUCAAAAAUAAACUUGGAUGAGGCCGACUCUACGUGAAUUCUGAGUAGAAGGGGAGGUUAUCUGGUUCAAUAAGAAUUUAAUAAACUUCCAAUAUGUUCCCUGAAGCCACCAUAGGAAUAUAUGGAAAGGUACUCUUCCAGGUUUCACCUUUCUGAUAACUUCAUCCCUCUGCAAC
Bos taurus (domestic cattle) is the source of this 1412-nucleotide long non-coding RNA. The record is from Ensembl. Lineage: Eukaryota; Metazoa; Chordata; Mammalia; Artiodactyla; Bovidae.